Schistosoma curassoni is the source of this 45-nucleotide non-coding RNA. Lineage: Eukaryota; Metazoa; Platyhelminthes; Trematoda; Strigeidida; Schistosomatidae. The record is from Rfam.
AUCCAGCUGACGAGUCCCAAACAGAACGGAACGGGCUUCCUGGAU